Molecule: transfer RNA, 31 nt
Filed under: Aletris pauciflora var. khasiana
Lineage: Eukaryota; Viridiplantae; Streptophyta; Magnoliopsida; Dioscoreales; Nartheciaceae
Also listed under: 7 other names
Description: partial tRNA-Leu
Source: RNAcentral
AAAAUCCGUCGACUUUAGAAAUCGUGAGGGU